AAACCAUUAUUUGUGUUAAGAAUUUAUGAUUUUCAAUUUUUCAUUCAUUUGUGUGAAAUUAGUUCCAAGUGAGUUAUUUAACAUAUUAGUAUUAUACUACAUACACUCAUUACCUAUUACAAUAUGAACGUUUUAAAUGUUUCGUUUUUGUUUUAGUCAUGGUCAUAGAUAAUAUAGAUUGGAUUGUCCAUCAGCCUUCCUGAGCGUUCUCAAAUGGUGACCCAUUGGGUAAUAUAUUUAGUAUAACAUAAACAAUUCAAUUUUUCAUUUAUUAAUUAAUUUUGAAAUUAUUUUAGGUUGAUAAUAAGAGUGUAUGGCGACUGAUCUGGCAUCCACCCAUUUCUUGAUGGCAGGUGACUUCACAAGGUUUGCAGAUUGGAGGUUCAUUCAUAAGGCACACUUGAAUCUGGUGCUGCUGAAUGGUGCCCAAGUAAACACCCUUUCUUAUACGCACUUGUUUCCAUAUCUGUGAAUAGUACCUUAUUAGUAAUGUUUUUUUUUUCACCUUUUUAUUUUUACUAUAUUUAUUAAUUUUGAUUUUGUUGUUUUUGUUUGUUACCAGAUUUGUGUAUUGUGAAUUUUAUGUUGACUUUUGUCUUGUAUUCAUGACUUUUUUAGCCCUAUUUACGACUUAAUUAUGCCCUUUACUGGAAUUUUUUUUUUAGAUUAUUAUUAUUACGUAUUCUGAUUUAUUCUCCUUUAUCAUACUUUUUUUUUUUUGUUUUGCUGAUUAAUUGCUAAAAUAUUUUUUUGUGAGCCUGUGGUCUUUAGUAAGCGUGUCUGUAUUUGUAAAAUACAGUAUUUAAUAUUAAAUUACUUGAUUUAUUAAUUUAGUAGAUCAUGGCACCUCUCUCUUUUAAAUCCAUGGUAGGAUUGCCUGAAAUUGGUUGAGAUAAAUUGUUUGUAAGGUUGUUUUGAUGGUCACUUAAGGAGGUUGCAGUCUUAAGUGUAGGAUUUUGUAGUAGAUUUUACAAUUAUUUUUAUUUGUUUGUCUGUGUAUGAAAACAAAAGUUAUAUGGUUAAAUUCAAUAACAAUAAAAAAAAAAAAAUCACCAAAACAAAAUGCAAAAUUAAUAUUAAGAAUUAUUAAAUAAAUUUUCCACUCUAUUCAGAAUUGAAAACAAAUCACUAUUAAUGUAAAUUAUUGUAUUUUUAGUGUAUAAUCUACAGGCUUCACUUCAAAAUGAUUUAAAUAUUAUAAAAAUUGAUGAAAUUAAAAAGAGAUAUAUGAAGAGAUCACAUUAUCAAACAACAGAAGAAAACAUUAAUCAGUUGAAAUUAAAAUUAUCAAUACAAACCAUGGACCAACUAUACUGCAGCCCAUGAAAGAAGAAACCUGUGCCUUGACCAAAACUUGUCCAAGUUUGCAUAGCCCCGCCACGUUAACGCUAGCGUAUUUUCCAUGUGAGUGUACACCAUGUUUAUAGUGCUUAUCGCGUUCCUAUACCUACCAUGUAAUUAUUUAACACUGCCUUUUUUAAUGAAAUUCAGUAAUAUUUCUUAAGUGUAAUAAAAUUGGAAAUUCAUAUUUAUUUAUUAUAAUUAUAUAUGUUCAUAUUAGUUAUUUGUAUAAAAAAUUUAAAUAAAUUAGAGUCGUUAAAAUAAAAUAAUUUUGAAAAUUUAUAUUCCAUUUUUGACAUACUAUUUCAUAGGACACAAGUAGCAGUGUGCUGCAGAAACUGUCAAAUAUAUGCGCAAACGAGUUCCUUCUCUCAUAGGCCACAGUAUAGACAUUCUUGAAUUAAAUCUGGAACUUAAACAGAUGUUUAUUUGAUGUAUGUUUUUUUUCUAUAUAUAUAUUUCAAAUAAAUAAUUUUUUUUUUUUAUAAAUAGGCUAAUUUCAUUCAUAGAAAUGAGAAAUCAUUUGAUGCAAAAAGAACUAUCUAACAAAUUAUGAAAAUAGUUUUUGAAAAUCCCAUGGCAGAAGGUUUAAAUAUGGUGGAAAGAGGAAGGAAGCGGGCACUUAGAAAAAUGUACUUGCGUACAAUUAUAAUAGGUAUGAUUCUUAAGUGUAAAUGUAGAUUAUAAUUAUGUGGUACAAAAUCUGUCAUUUUUAUUUGUAAAAUGUCAAACAUAAGCAGAACUUAGGUUUGAUUUAGUUUUCAUAGUUACAAUAUAUUGUUUUGGUUUCUGAAAUGUUAAUAAAUGUGUAUAAACUGCCAUAUGAACCCUAGUCACCAUUAUCAAAAAAUUGGAGUUACUGUGUUUUUUUUACUUGGCACAGCAGAAUAAUAACAGCUUUAAUAAUGUAUUAUUUUAUAUUUUUCACAGAUGCUGUAAAAUACAGGCUUUCUGAAGAAUCACUAGGAGUAAUACAACCUCAUUGCUAACAAUAUUAAAUUAAGAGUUUUGCUAUCGGAGCUAUUUACUUAAUUUUUUAAAUUAUGCUUAAACUAUUGUAUGAAUAAUAAUUCAUAAAGUAUUAAAUCAAAAAUUCAAAAUUCAAAUAUUUUUUGUAUUGUCAAUAUUUCAUAAUUUUCAACAGUUUGUAUUUUAAUGGGAUGAAAUUUAAGAAGUUUUAUUAUACCUAAAAUAUAUUGAAACAGAAGAUUAUUAUUUUAAAAAUCUUUUUGUAUAUUCAAGAUUUUUUUUAAGCUUAUUUUCCUUAACCUCAUUAUGAAAAUGAAAUUUAAUAUUUAUAAAUUAUACAUUGAAAAACUAUUAGAAACUUUAAAAAUUAAAGAAAGCCAUUCUUAAUUAGUCUUGUUGUUUUAAAAACAAAAUAAUUUUACUGUUGAUUCUGAUAUAAAUAAUGAGUACUAAUAAUAAUAACUUUUCAUAUUUGAAAUGAGGUUAAGGAAAAUAAGUUCAAGAAUAUCUUGAAUGCAGCCAAAUUAUAAAAAUAAUAUUCUACCCCAAUAUUUUGUAUACAGUAACAAUUCUUUUUGAAUUUGUUAUCUCACUGCAUUUUACCAUCUAUUCAAAUACAGUUGGUAUACUCACUGUGCAAUUUUUUCAGAUUAUUCCUCUAUGGAUUUUGUAUUCAAUUGUUCAGUCUUUAUUGUUCUAUUAACUGAUCAUGAUUUUUUUUAAAUUGAAACCUAUGCCUAUUUUUAUAAUAAUCCAAACUUUUUUUUUCUUUUUUUAAUAACUGGUGUAUUUUUGAGGGCAUAAACUAUACAGAGUUCAAUACAAAUAUCUGAUAUCUGAAAUAACUCUUUUUCUGUUCAAUAUUUUAUAGUUUUAAUUCUUUAAAUAAUUUCUGAAGCCUAUAAUUUCUCUAUUUAAUAUUUGAACUAAACACUAUAAAUUUGUUUUUACAAAAUCAUAUAUAAAUAUUAUAAAUAUAAAUUUAUAACAAAAUUUAAGUAUUGCUGAUAUUUACUUAUGAUAAAUCCAAAGAAUUUACUAAUG
Molecule: long non-coding RNA, 3354 nt
Filed under: Cinara cedri
Lineage: Eukaryota; Metazoa; Arthropoda; Insecta; Hemiptera; Aphididae
Source: RNAcentral